Molecule: long non-coding RNA, 357 nt
Organism: Passer montanus (Eurasian tree sparrow)
Lineage: Eukaryota; Metazoa; Chordata; Aves; Passeriformes; Passeridae
Exons: 3
Source: RefSeq, a predicted model, not a curated record
AGCAGGCUGAAGUUGCACUACUGCAAGCCUGGAGCUGCAGCACCAAGGUGAAGCUCAAACAUGCACAACUACACAAGCUCUCGUGGGAAUGUGGUGACUCAAGGGAUGAAGUGGCAAAGGACUGCAUCUUCUGCCAGGUUUCAUCACCUUUAAAAUAAAUUUAUAGUUCCAACAUCUGCAAUGUGAAAUGAAGACUCCCAUUUUGGCCAACAAAUUCUCUGAGUAAUCAUAAACAAUUAAAAAUCCUCAAUACCUGGAAACGAAAUGGGUAUCAUCAGGACAAAAUGCUACAUUUAAAACCCAGGAUCCAUGACCACUUAAUGUGCCAGCCAAAUUUGCAUGUUGCCUGUGGAAAGA